Molecule: ribosomal RNA, 253 nt
Filed under: uncultured bacterium
Lineage: Bacteria
Description: partial 16S ribosomal RNA
Rfam family: Bacterial small subunit ribosomal RNA
Source: RNAcentral
UACAGAGGGUGCGAGCGUUAAUCGGAUUUACUGGGCGUAAAGCGUGCGUAGGCGGCUUUUUAAGUCGGAUGUGAAAUCCCCGAGCUUAACUUGGGAAUUGCAUUCGAUACUGGUUGGCUAGAGUAUGGGAGAGGAUGGUAGAAUUCCAGGUGUAGCGGUGAAAUGCGUAGAGAUCUGGAGGAAUACCGAUGGCGAAGGCAGCCAUCUGGCCUAAUACUGACACUGAGGUGCGAAAGCGUGGGGAGCAAACAGG